UUUUACGUCGUUUGAACAAAGAGUUGUUCCUGGCCAAAUAUGCCACCUUGAAUUUGUGGUGCUAAGCUGCCAGUCCAGAAGAGUCUGAAGGCUGUUGAAUUGGCUCUCUAUAGGCACAGAAUCCUAACAGCUGUGUGAUAGUCAUCCUACAACAACAGGAGACUCUUGCUGAAUCCUUUUUUUUUUGCCGUUGGAGGGCUUCUGUAUUUCACCUUCCUCUCUUUCCCAUCUAUUUCUGUAGGUUUCUAUUGCCUGGAGGGCUCUGAGGUGCCCACACCAUGUCCUUCCAAUACUAUCAGAGAUGUUCCAGGGGCUGGGCGGAAAGAAGACUGCCUGCCCUGUCCACCCGGCCGCUGGUGCAAAGCAGGGGACUCAGAGGCUUAUCCAUGUCCCUCAGGACACUAUUGCCUUGGAGGUAACGUCAGUGACCAAAGCAGUCUCCUGGCACCUCAGAAAUGCCCUCCACACACUUACCGCAAACACCCUGGAGCUCAGAGUGUGGCAGAUUGCCAGCCGUGUCCUCCGGGCUAUCACUGCCCUUUAUCAGGUCUGACCAGGUUUGAGGAUUAUCCAUGCCCCCUGGGAUACUGGUGCCCUGGUAAAGGGGACGCUUUCCUUUGUCCACCUGGUACUUCCAGGAGCCAGCCUGGUGCAAAAUCACUGGAAGAGUGCGAUCCCUGCUCACCUGGAUACUAUUGCCCAGACCCAGCACACACAGGGCUACCUAACAGCCAAGGAGUACCUUGUAAACCUGGCUUUGAAUGCCCAGCAGGUUCAGUGAAUCCAAAGCCUUGCAGGCCUGGCUCAUACUGUGGUGCUCACACAGCCGUGCCUUCCAUGUGCCCUGCUGGAUAUUUCUGUCCUGAAGGCUCAUCAACCUACAAUAGCCCUGAGCAGCUGUAAGUACUUCAUGUGUUUGGUGGAGCCAGCUUUAAGGUUUUUUUUUUUGAGUCCAGAAAUCAGAACAUUUUCAGAGAAUUUUCUCCUCUCUUCCUGCCUUGUUUUGCUUUCCAGGUGUGUGUUUCCCUACUACUGCCCCCCAGGCAGUGCCCAUCCACUGCCUUGUGAAGGAGGAUUCAUGGCCCUCAGCUUGCCUGGUCCAAGGGAUUCAUUUGAGAAAUUCUGCAGAAUCUGUGACGCAGGCAGCUAUCGGAACGUCUCUGCCAGCGCUGCCCCCUGUCAGCCCUGCCCAGCAGGCUUCAUCUGCCCACAAGGUAAAUGGGGCUGCUAAGAAGUAGUACAAGUAGUUUGAAUUGUAAGUAGAAAGCUCUAAGUUUUGAUGGGCAAAGCUCUUGAUCCUCUACAGUUUUACAUCCCUGGUGUGGGUGAAGGGGAUGAUCUUUUUCCUCCAAUUCUGUGACUCAGCUGCGAGACCAGGAAUUAAGAUAUUAUCAGAAGUGUGAACCUAGGUGUUCAAGCCUUGCGGUGUGACA
RNAcentral lists this long non-coding RNA (1433 nucleotides) under Anas platyrhynchos platyrhynchos (common mallard). RNAcentral's name for it is "lncRNA (ENSAPLG00000018939.1)". The record is from RNAcentral. Lineage: Eukaryota; Metazoa; Chordata; Aves; Anseriformes; Anatidae.